AUUGAACGCUGGCGGCAGGCCUAACACAUGCAAGUCGAACGAGUGGCGGACGGGUGAGUAAUGUCUGGGAAACUGCCUGAUGGAGGGGGAUAACUACUGGAAACGGUAGCUACUACCGCAUACCAUCGGAUGUGCCCAGAUGGGAUUAGCUAGUAGGUGGGGUAAGGGCUCACCUAGGCGACGAUCCCUAGCUGGUCUACGUGGAUGACCAGACACACUGGAACGGGGACACGGUCAAGAUUCCUACGGUGGGCAGAAGUGGGGAAUAUUGCACAAGGGGCGCAAGCCUGAUGCAGCCAGGCGGCGUGUAUGAAGAAGGCCUUCGGGUUGUAAAGUACUUUCAGCGGGGAGGCGUUACCCGCAGAAGAAGCACCGGCUAACUCCGUGCCAGCAGCCGCGGUAAUUC
RNAcentral lists this ribosomal RNA (406 nucleotides) under uncultured bacterium. RNAcentral's name for it is "partial 16S ribosomal RNA". It matches the Rfam family "Bacterial small subunit ribosomal RNA", at positions 30 to 526 of the family's 1533-position model. The record is from RNAcentral.